This 1590-nucleotide ribosomal RNA is filed under the name Strigops habroptila (Kakapo). RNAcentral's name for it is "16S ribosomal RNA". It matches the Rfam family "Bacterial large subunit ribosomal RNA". The record is from RNAcentral. Lineage: Eukaryota; Metazoa; Chordata; Aves; Psittaciformes; Psittacidae.
AGCCUACCCUAGCCCCAUCCCACUACAAAUCAAGAACCCACUACCCAACAAAACUAAAACAUUAUUCCUAAGCUUAGUAUAGGUGAUAGAAAAGCACCAGCCUGGGCGCUAUAAAGAAAUGUACCGUAAGGGAAAGCUGAAAUAACAAUGAAAACUAAGCAACAUAUAGCAAAGAUAAACCCUUGUACCUUUUGCAUCAUGAUCUAGCAAGAACAAAACAAGCAAAACGAAUUUAAGCUUGCCACCCCGAAACCCAUGCGAGCUACUUACAAGCAGUUAUCUAUGAACGAACCCGUCUCUGUUGCAAAAGAGUGGGACGACUUGUUAGUAGAGGUGAAAAGCCAAUCGAGCUGGGCGAUAGCUGGUUGCCUGUGAAAUGAAUUUAAGUUCCCUCUUAACCUUACUUCCUCGGCAUCCAACUCAACCUUCAUGUAACGAGUUAAGAGCUAUUUAAAGGGGGUACAGCCCCUUUAAAAAAGGAUACAACCUCUACCAGCGGAUAACUUCACCCUCACCUCAAACCCGUUGGCCUUAAAGCAGCCACCCUUAAAGAGUGCGUCAAAGCUCAUCAACCAAAAAAUCCAAAAACAACAUGACUCCCUACAUCCCUAACAGGCUAACCUAUAAUCUAUAGAUGAAUNNNNNNNNGAACGAGUAACCAGGACANNNNNNUCCCCUUAAGCGCAAACCUACCUCACUGCAUUAACAGUACAACAGCCAAUACCAAAACCCUCAACACGAGCCCAAAUAUUGAACCUACCCUGUCAACCCAACCCAGGAGCGCAUAUCUAGGAUGAUCAAAACCCACAAAAGGAACUCGGCAAACCUAAGGCCCGACUGUUUACCAAAAACAUAGCCUUCAGCCAGACAAGUAUUGAAGGUGAUGCCUGCCCAGUGACACCACGUUUAACGGCCGCGGUAUCCUAACCGUGCGAAGGUAGCGCAAUCAAUUGUCCCAUAAAUCGAGACUUGUAUGAAUGGCUAAACGAGGUCUUAACUGUCUCCUGUGGGUAAUCAGUGAAACUGAUCUCCUUGUACAAAAGCAAGGAUAAGCACAUAAGACGAGAAGACCCUGUGGAACUUUAAAAUCAAUAGCCACUACACACUAAACCUAAAGCCCACCAGGCCCACCAUCCUAUAAAUACUGGCUAAUAUAUUUAGGUUGGGGCGACCUUGGAGAAAAACAAACCCUCCAAAAAUAAGACCAAGCCUCCUAACCAAGAGCAACCCCUCAACGUGCUAACAGCAACCAGACCCAAUACAAUUGACCAAUGGACCAAGCUACCCCAGGGAUAACAGCGCAAUCUCCCCUAAGAGCCCCUAUCGACGGGGAAGUUUACGACCUCGAUGUUGGAUCAGGACACCCUAGUGGUGCAGCCGCUACCAAGGGUUCGUUUGUUCAACGAUUAAUAGUCCUACGUGAUCUGAGUUCAGACCGGAGUAAUCCAGGUCGGUUUCUAUCUAUGAUUAGCCCUUCCUAGUACGAAAGGACCGGAAAGGCAAGGCCAAUACCACAAGCACGCCCUCCCUUUAAGUGAUGUAUUCAACUAAAUCACCAAAAGGCCACAACCUACCUUCUAGAAAAGAACC